Molecule: long non-coding RNA, 1264 nt
Organism: Prionailurus viverrinus (fishing cat)
Lineage: Eukaryota; Metazoa; Chordata; Mammalia; Carnivora; Felidae
Exons: 3
Source: RefSeq, a predicted model, not a curated record
GUCCCCUUCAGCUCUGUUCAGCCAGCCUCCAGUCCAGGGUGCCCGCUCCGCUGCCUUUUGUCUCCUAUAGCCAUAGGAACUCGUAUUUUGCGCCAGGCCUAGCACUUCAUUCCAAGCAACUGUGCUGAGGACCAAAGGAUUAGCAAGUCUGCUUAGGCUGCCAUCAAAUCUGUGCCUGAGUGCAAUUUCACACAGUCCAUCAAGACCUGCAGGAUCUGAUGCAGCCCUUGUCUCCAGGCUUGUCUGUCGUUUCUUCUACCCCAGAGUCAGCAAAGAACAUGAAGCUCACAGAAUAUUAGAGAUGGAAGACACUCCAGAGUCAUCGCAUCCAAAUCUUCAUUUGAGAGAUAAGGAAACCAAAAGCCGUCAUUGCACCAAGAAUCACUGAGUUCUCCAAAACACGUCCCACAGAAAGGGUGUCAGAAAAGCCCUUGGACUCUAACCAUGCAUUCGAUGAGCUCACAAGUCUGAACCAUAAGUUUCCUGAGCAUCACUUAAAUAGCUUGUGAAAGGACAGGAAAUCCCACAAAAAUGGGCAGACAGAAAUAGAAGAUGGAAUUACAAUUCAGUGGUCCACACAGAGUUUUUCCUAGUGUGUCUUGAGCCAGCAACAAAGGGUGGCACUCAAGGCUCAGGGUGAAGUGAAGCACAGUAAGCUAGGUGAAGCAGAUGGGAGCUGCUCUGGAGAGACCCACAGCAGCCAUCCAUGUAGGACUCAUUUCCUGCUUUGAGCCAAAUGGGUUUAUCAAACGCAGCCUUCUGUACUGUUUUCUGGCCAGCAUGGAGAAAUGCACCUGGCAUCUGCCUAUGCAUUCUGUCUUUUUUGCCAAAUGCAGGGAUCUCCCUUUGGCUUUCAACAUGGAACACCCGGAAUCAGAUGGAAAAUCCCUCCAUUAGUCAAGUACAUGGGAAAUGCUCUCUGAAAAUGCUGUGGAAGAGAAUGACCGUCCACAUACACAAAAGUUCAAUUAAGUUCAUUUGUUCAUGGCUCAAGCCUAUGUGCUAGGAAUCAGGACUGACUGCCCAGUACCCUGAUUUUGGCUCCUCUGCAGCCUGCAUACAGAGCUGUAGGGGCCAAGGGCAGGCUGCCCAAAAUGUACCACUUUGGCAUAUUGAUUAUUUUGAAUAAAAGUUACUUAAGAGAUAGCCUGUGCAAGAAGGACACUCAGACAGUUCCCUGUCCCCCUGAAAGCAGGAAACAAAUCUCCCCUGUGAAAGCUACCCUCCCUGCACAAGAAGUAAAGAGACAUCCUAAUUGCCAGAG